CAUGCCUUCUGCUUCAGUUCCGCCAGGUUCUUGCAGGCAAUCCUUCUGCUCGCUGAGUAAUGUCCUGGUUUGUAACACCGGAUCUUUUUUCUCGGCGGAGGUUCAGCUACUAUACCAUUCUUAUCUCCUGACACGCAUGCUCACUCCUUCCCUGCGCUCUGCCGCAUAACCAAGCGCUCCGGUUCGCAGCCGAACUCCAUCUCCCAGAAUGCUUUGCUUCAAGUCAUUUCGCGCUUGCGCAGUACUUGGGUUUUUGUCAAGCGGUGGUUAUGGAGAUGGGAGAGAAGGAGCGGUGGAACGGGGGCCGGUUCUGUGUAUCGCCUCUGGGACUCGGCCGCUGAUAUUUUGUGCAGCGAUUAAAACUCAGGCCUUGCGACAGAAAGUUCGUCAGGCCUUAGGAGCGGUGAGGUUUGUUUUCUGCUGUGAAUAACUCUGCUUGAACCGGGGGGAUUAUUGCGUGACCUGAAGGAGUUCCCGGCAUUCGCCGCUUCCUGUCUCGUAGCGUCAAGGGCUUUAGAGUCCGGACCUGCAUAAUGCCCCACAAGCUUGGAUUUGUUGUUGUAAAUUCAUCUGGGCAUAAAGAUGGAUUUAGUGCCAAAGAGUUGAUGGUCCAUGCUCCCACUGUCCGUGGCUGGAGAUCUCCAAGCUUUGAAAUGAUCGUCGCUGACCCCAUCUAUAAAGCAAAUGUUCUGUAAGGCUAC
Molecule: long non-coding RNA, 701 nt
Organism: Xenopus laevis (African clawed frog)
Lineage: Eukaryota; Metazoa; Chordata; Amphibia; Anura; Pipidae
Exons: 3
Source: RefSeq, a predicted model, not a curated record